UACGAAGGGGGCUAGCGUUGUUCGGAAUUACUGGGCGUAAAGCGCACGUAGGCGGACUAUUAAGUCAGGGGUGAAAUCCCGGGGCUCAACCCCGGAACUGCCUUUGAUACUGGUAGUCUCGAGUCCGGAAGAGGUGAGUGGAAUUCCGAGUGUAGAGGUGAAAUUCGUAGAUAUUCGGAGGAACACCAGUGGCGAAGGCGGCUCACUGGUCCGGUACUGACGCUGAGGUGCGAAAGCGUGGGGAGCAAACAGGG
RNAcentral lists this ribosomal RNA (254 nucleotides) under uncultured bacterium. RNAcentral's name for it is "partial 16S ribosomal RNA". It matches the Rfam family "Bacterial small subunit ribosomal RNA", at positions 524 to 777 of the family's 1533-position model. The record is from RNAcentral.